This 297-nucleotide unclassified non-coding RNA is filed under the name Hevea brasiliensis (rubber tree). The record is from RNAcentral. Lineage: Eukaryota; Viridiplantae; Streptophyta; Magnoliopsida; Malpighiales; Euphorbiaceae.
GUGAAGAUGAUGGAAAUCAUAUUCCUUCACUUCUGACUUGGAAUGAUGGUGCCGAUAUAACCAAAUCCCAUAACGAUGAACGACAAGGACUGAGGAAAGAUGUAGAUGUAGUAGAAAUCAUUUCCAAAGACACAGUCAUAACAUGCACAUACCAGUAGGAAUCCUCCAAUUGCCAGCUCCAGAACAUGAAAUCUCUCCCAGAACUUGAAUUGGAGCCUUUUCCUGAUACUGGAAGUUGUUUUUGUCUUCAACAUGUCUCCUAAUUUCUCAGUAACAACCCACUCAUUGGCUCUUCCU